UGGGGAAUAUUGGACAAUGGGCGAAAGCCUGAUCCAGCCAUGCCGCGUGUGUGAAGAAGGUCUUCGGAUUGUAAAGCACUUUAAGUUGGGAGGAAGGGCAUUAACCUAAUACGUUAGUGUUUUGACGUUACCGACAGAAUAAGCACCGGCUAACUCUGUGCCAGCAGCCGCGGUAAUACAGAGGGUGCAAGCGUUAAUCGGAAUUACUGGGCGUAAAGCGCGCGUAGGUGGUUUGUUAAGUUGGAUGUGAAAGCCCCGGGCUCAACCUGGGAACUGCAUCCAAAACUGGCAAGCUAGAGUACGGUAGAGGGUGGUGGAAUUUCCUGUGUAGCGGUGAAAUGCGUAGAUAUAGGAAGGAACACCAGUGGCGAAGGCGACCACCUGGACUAAUACUGACACUGAGGUGCGAAAGCGUGGGGAGCAAACA
RNAcentral lists this ribosomal RNA (427 nucleotides) under uncultured bacterium. Its description in RNAcentral is "partial 16S ribosomal RNA". It matches the Rfam family "Bacterial small subunit ribosomal RNA", at positions 355 to 774 of the family's 1533-position model. The record is from RNAcentral.